AUUGAACGCUGGCGGCAGGCCUAACACAUGCAAGUCGAACGGUAACAGCGAGACGUUUGUUUCUUUGCUGUUGAGUGUCGGAUGGGUGAGUGAUGUCUGGGAAACUCCCUGUUGGAGUGGGAUAACUACUGGAAACGGUAGCGCAUAUCUCAUAACGUCGCAAGUCCAAAAAGGGGGACCUUCUGGCCCCUUGCCUUCUGGUGUGCCCAGAUGGGGUUUUAUAGUAGGUGGGGUAACGGCGCACCCAGGCGACCAUCCGUAGCUGGUCUGAGAGGAUGUGCAGCCACACUGGAACUGAGACACGGUCCAGACUCCUACGGGAGGCAGCAGUGGGGAAUAUUGGACAAUGGGCGCAAGCCUGAUGCAGCCAUGCCGCGUGUUUGAAGAAGGCCUUCGGGUUGUAAAGUACUUUCGGCGGGAAUGAAAAGAGUGAGGUUAAUACCUCUGCUUGUUGACGGUACCCAAAGAAUAAGCACCGGCUAACUUCGUG
This 490-nucleotide ribosomal RNA is filed under the name uncultured bacterium. RNAcentral's name for it is "partial 16S ribosomal RNA". It matches the Rfam family "Bacterial small subunit ribosomal RNA", at positions 30 to 507 of the family's 1533-position model. The record is from RNAcentral.